AAAGCACAUAUAACAAGGACAAUUUAUCACCCGAAGUUGUAUUUACCGUGCCUUUCUUAUGAAGAUGCAAAAGAAAUCCUAAGCAUCUACUUAAUUGAAACUCUGUUACCGUGAAAUUGUACACAAUGGGAGGCUGUGGUAUAUAGUGAAAGUUACCAAGGUGGCAUUGAAAAAAAAAGAAUUAAUUGAGGAUUCAAAUAACGACCUCAGUUAUGAAUGACAGUAGAUGAAAAAAGUUAGUUGCAGCACAAGCGGAAGAAGUUGAGAAGUUGUAGUGGAAAUGCUGAGUCACGGCUUGAAGCAGUGACUGAGCAGCUGGUGGGAAGGCAGGGUGAACCCAGCGGAGCUUGUGUGCAAGAAGUGCACCUGAAGGACUGCAAGGGGCAGAGCCAGGAUCCAGCCAUUCAAAGCCUACUUUCAAGGGUUAGCAGUGGAGGUGAGGCUAUCUCUCAGGAGAUCCCUGCCCACCUGAGGCCUUCCAGAGCUCUGUUCCUUCAUUUCUGCACCAGCAGCCACUUCCCCGUGGGCAGUGUGGCACGUGUCACAGUGAGCACAGCAACCCUGUGUUGUGGCACAACCACCUUGCAGAGUAGCAGAAGCGCUGCUCCCUGGGCAGAGAGAGCAGUUGGUGCUGAGCAACGGCACUGUGAGGAGGUGGGAGAGAUUGGGAGAGCAGACCAAAGGCAGAGGUUGCCCCCAGCGCCCUCCCAGCCCACAGCGUGGUCGAGGACCGUUUGGAACCCGUCUGUGACUGCGAGCACCGAGCGGUAGGCAGAAGUCCUGAGGUUAGCCUGGUGCCGGGCCUCACCUUCCCUUCUCGCUGUGCCUGAGCAUGGCCGUGUCGGGUCUGAGGCAGCGUGCCCGUGGGCUGGCAGCCGUACCCGUGUGGCACUGAUGGCAGCGGCCAUGGCUGCACGUGGGACGCCCGGGUGCCAAAGCGCAGCUGGAAAGGAGCACGCGUGAGCUCCCGUGCGCGAUGGCGCGCUGGGGCUGGGCAGUGUCCACAGGAGUGCCGUGCCUUGCCGUGCCCACAGCCGUGCCUCACACCGCUCUGCCUGCUGAUGUGCGUGCAGGUGAGCCAUGGCGGAGGAGCACACCUGGGAAUCCCUGGUGGAAGACAACAUCAGUCAGCCGUGCUGUGCAGGAGCUGAUGGAGGUGUGUGAGCCGCCUGCAGAAAUCCCACAGGGCAGAGCUGCUGGGCACAGAGCCGGGGUGCUGCAGGGCUCGCUGCCCUGCUCUGGCCUGGCCUUGCCGUGCCCUGGGGACAGGCUGAGAAUGCCCUUAGCCACCCUACAUCCACGUAAGUGGUCCCGAUUGCCUUGCAGUGUAAGAAGAGAUCUGCAGAGCUGGCAGAUGCUGUCAGAGAAAAGGCAAAAAUCCGCAAGGCUUCUUGCAGCUUGUCUUCUUCAUCCUGGUCCUGCUGAAGAGGGACAUCCUCCACGGGGUCCUGCCUGCAGAGCAGGUGACUGCCCUUGGCAGCCGUCCACCAAAACCUGCUGUUUUCUGACCCCAGAACACACUGCAGCCCUUCAUCGUGGCACCAUUGGUUCUGCACAGGCAUUAGGUGUGCCUCCCUUGUCACUGAUAACAUCAACAAAAUCCAUCCCAAUUCCAAAAUGUUUCAUUUGUGCAUGA
Molecule: long non-coding RNA, 1636 nt
Organism: Phasianus colchicus (ring-necked pheasant)
Lineage: Eukaryota; Metazoa; Chordata; Aves; Galliformes; Phasianidae
Source: Ensembl